Molecule: long non-coding RNA, 233 nt
Filed under: Lathyrus oleraceus (garden pea)
Lineage: Eukaryota; Viridiplantae; Streptophyta; Magnoliopsida; Fabales; Fabaceae
Description: Pisum sativum (pea) long non-coding RNA (PSAT_LNC004947)
Source: RNAcentral
UUCUAGUUUAGAACACAAUUGCACACACACGGCUUUCUCUUGGGCUACCUGACAAUGAGAUCUUUUAUUUUCUACACUCCCUUGUACUUUACAUGUACCCCCCCCCCCCUUUCUCAUGUAUGCUUUUACUUGCUUUCCUCUUUUAUUGCUUUAUAGCUACUCCUUAGGCUUUAGGAGCGCUCACCAUUUUGCAACCAAUAAUCAAACCCUUGAUCCAACAUCAAGCGGUCUUU